GCCAGCAGCUGUAUCACCCUGCAGCUCUCAACCGGCAGCCCACUGAAGCUGAGCAGGGUUGAGCCUGGUCAGUACCUGGAUGGGAGAGACCUCCUGGGAAGCUAUGGCUGCUGCUGGAA
This 119-nucleotide ribosomal RNA is filed under the name Lepisosteus oculatus (spotted gar). Lineage: Eukaryota; Metazoa; Chordata; Actinopteri; Semionotiformes; Lepisosteidae. The record is from RNAcentral.